AUGCCGAUGGCGGGGAGAUCCUCUGGCCGCGGCGGCGGGGGCGGGGGAGGAGGCGGGGGGAGGACGGUGCUGGGGGGCCGCGGCGGCGGGCCGGGGGUGGAGGACGCGGUGGUGAUGGAGCUGGCGGCGGGGGACGGGGAGGACAACGUCGUCACCGUCAACUGCCCCGACCAGGCCGGCCUCGGCUGCGACCUCUGCCGCACCAUCCUCGAGUUCGGCCUCCGCAUCACCCGCGGCGCAGACGUGUCGACGGACGGGCAGUGGUGCUACGUGAUUUUCUGGGUGGUGCCACGCUCGCCGUCCAUCAAUGUCCGGUGGGGGAGCCUCAAGAACCGGCUCAUGGCCAUGUGCCCUUCGUCAUAUGCCAUCCCGUUCUACCCUGAAAUCACCGAGCCAGGGCCCCCGCAGUUCUACCUCCUCAAGCUCUUCUCGACCGACCGUAGGGGGCUGUUGCACGAUGUUACGCAUAUACUGUCGGAGCUAGAGUUUAUAAUCCAGAGAGUGAAGGUGUCGACCACGCCUGACGGGAGGGUUGUGAACCUCUUCUUUAUCACUGAUGGCAUGGAACUGUUGCAUACGAAGGAAAGGCAAGAAGAGAUUUGCUCGAUGCUGAUUGCUACCUUAGGUCCUUCCCUUACUUGUGAAAUCCUAUCAGCGGAAGGGUUCCAGCAAGGAUUCUCUUCUCUUCCACCAACAAUCUCUGAGGAGCUGUUCAGAUUGGAACUAGAUGAAUGCGAGAGCAGUUCAGGGCCUCUUUCUGCGGAGAUGAAAAAGGUGCAGAAGGCCACCAUCAACUUUGACAAUUCCUUGAGUCCUGCACACACACUGCUCCAAAUUCUUUGUGUUGAUCAGAAGGGUCUCCUUUAUGACAUGUUGAGAACACUCAAGGACUGCAAUAUUAAGGUCACUUAUGGGAGAUUCUGGUCAGACAAGAAAGGUUUUCGCGAGGUCGAUCUUUUUAUCAAGCAAGCAGAUGGCAAGAAGGUUAUUGAUCCUGAGAAACAGGAUGCUCUGCGGUCCCGCAUGAGGUCCGAAAUGCUCCAUCCUCUUAGGGUGAUGAUCGUCAACCGUGGACCGGACACAGAACUCUUUGUUGCCAACCCUGUUGAACUUGCCGGGAAGGGUCGGCCACGGGUGUUCUAUGAUGCUACUUUGGCUUUGAAAGCGCUUGGAAUCUGCAUUUUCUCUGCAGAAAUCGGGAGACAGGCAGCAUCGGAGCGCCAAUGGGAGGUCUACCGAUUCCUCCUGGAUGACAGCAAAGAAUUUCCCUUGUCAAACAGCCUAACUAAUAGGAACCGUGUUGUUGAUAGAGUAAGGAAAACACUGAUGGGCUGUUACAACUGA
RNAcentral lists this ribosomal RNA (1344 nucleotides) under Triticum aestivum (bread wheat). RNAcentral's name for it is "partial small subunit ribosomal RNA". Lineage: Eukaryota; Viridiplantae; Streptophyta; Magnoliopsida; Poales; Poaceae. The record is from RNAcentral.